RNAcentral lists this ribosomal RNA (586 nucleotides) under Actinomadura sp. SCAU5232. Its description in RNAcentral is "bacterial SSU rRNA". It matches the Rfam family "Bacterial small subunit ribosomal RNA", at positions 51 to 652 of the family's 1533-position model. Lineage: Bacteria; Bacillati; Actinomycetota; Actinomycetes; Streptosporangiales; Thermomonosporaceae. The record is from RNAcentral.
ACACAUGCAAGUCGAGCGGAAAGGCCCCUUCGGGGGUACUCGAGCGGCGAACGGGUGAGUAACACGUGAGCAACCUGCCCCUGACUCUGGGAUAAGCCCGGGAAACUGGGUCUAAUACCGGAUAUGACCACUCCAGGCAUCUGGUGGUGGUGGAAAGUUUUUCGGUUGGGGAUGGGCUCGCGGCCUAUCAGCUUGUUGGUGGGGUGAUGGCCUACCAAGGCGACGACGGGUAACCGGCCUGAGAGGGCGACCGGUCACACUGGGACUGAGACACGGCCCAGACUCCUACGGGAGGCAGCAGUGGGGAAUAUUGCGCAAUGGGCGGAAGCCUGACGCAGCGACGCCGCGUGGGGGAUGACGGCCUUCGGGUUGUAAACCCCUUUCAGCAGGGACGAAGCUAACGUGACGGUACCUGCAGAAGAAGCGCCGGCUAACUACGUGCCAGCAGCCGCGGUAAUACGUAGGGCGCAAGCGUUGUCCGGAAUUAUUGGGCGUAAAGAGCUCGUAGGCGGUUUGUCGCGUCUGUCGUGAAAGCCCACGGCUUAACCGUGGGUCUGCGGUGGAUACGGGCAGACUAGAGGCAGGU